RNAcentral lists this ribosomal RNA (98 nucleotides) under uncultured bacterium. RNAcentral's name for it is "partial 16S ribosomal RNA". It matches the Rfam family "Bacterial small subunit ribosomal RNA", at positions 1384 to 1482 of the family's 1533-position model. The record is from RNAcentral.
UACACACCGCCCGUCACAUGACCCGAGUCGGGUGCACCCGAAGUCGCUGGCCCAACCGCAAGGAGGGAGGCGCCGAAGGUGUGCUUGGUGAGGGGAUG